UACGACUAUUUAGAGAGUUUCGGCUACUGA
RNAcentral lists this non-coding RNA (30 nucleotides) under Mus musculus (house mouse). Lineage: Eukaryota; Metazoa; Chordata; Mammalia; Rodentia; Muridae. The record is from RNAcentral.